RNAcentral lists this long non-coding RNA (2832 nucleotides) under Triticum aestivum (bread wheat). Its description in RNAcentral is "long non-coding RNA (TAES_LNC027776)". Lineage: Eukaryota; Viridiplantae; Streptophyta; Magnoliopsida; Poales; Poaceae. The record is from RNAcentral.
CCCCAUGCUGCCAGCGGCGUGAUCCACGGUGUGUAGUUUGCCAAUGCUCAAUUUCAUGGAGCAGUUAGUUCAGGUACCGGCUGCAGUUAUCUUGCGUCCAAAAAAACUAAGUGAUGUACAAAACUAUGAUUUUGCCAAGCCCCUACUUGCGUGAGGUACAAAAAAUAGCAAUCUAAUUAGAGGGUUCAGUUUGUUUACCAAGCCCCUGCUUGCGUGAGGUACAAAAAAUAUUUUUAAUCUUGGCAGUUAACUCGGUGUUAACUGCCGCAAUCCUUGGCAGUUAGCUAUUUUACUCCCGGUCGUUAGCUUGAACUGGGCAAAAAACCAAAAAAAUAUUUUUCAAUCCUGACAGUUAACUAUCGCAGUCUCGUUGUUGUUUCUACAGCUUCAGCUAGCAGCAACCACAGCAGGUGGUUACAGUUGGCCAUGCCGGCAGUUAAGAAAGACCAGUUAGAAGUGUGUGUGUGUGUGUGUGUGUGUAUGUGUGCAUGACGAGUUAGCUUAGGACAUGGUUCAUUUUCUUAUGUUGUGUGUUUCCGAGUUGGCUUAGGCCAUGGUUCUUUCUUUGAUGCAGUAGCAGUUCGGUUAUAAAAGGCAGCGACAGUCAAGAAAAAAACUGGAGAAUGGGGAGGACAAGAAUCCAGCAAGGGAGAAGGGCAAAAAAGAAAGCCGGUGAUCAAGGUACAUGUCUGAUUCUUGAUGUGUCUUCAUGAUAACUUCUCAACUAGGACCAUUAAUGUUGUCAUCAGUUUGAGGAGCCAUUGUGUUUCCUGUAAAAAAUAGGUGAUAUAUUUUGCAAGGCAUUUUUUGUUCAGCAGUUAUGUGUUAUUAAGAAAAUAGGGGUAGGUUUGGGUUCUUCUGCAGUUAACUAGAUAAAAGGGGUUCGUCUUCAUCCAUACACGCACGCCAUCGGAUGUGUUUGUGCAUUGUUCAGUUAGCUUCCCUUAUUUCUAGCAUGCAAAACAGUGGAUUCACAAACACAAAAAUCUCUCUCUAUCUCUGUGUGUGUGGAAGUUAGUAGGCAGAGGGCAACAGUUAGGGAAAAAAUUAAUGGUUUAUGUGUUCUAAAAAUAUUUGUUUUUUCUAUGGGUGUUUCAAUUGUCACAGGGUUUGAAAAUUCAGCAGUUAUCCCUUCCAAGAAAAAAGAGUUAAUUUCGAGUGUGAUAGUAGUUCCUGAGAAAAAAAUGUUCUACCCAGAAAAACAGGAAGUUAACAUCAUAAUUUACAGCGGUUAACUUUACAAAUGUAUACUAGUUCGGGGUCUAUAGCAGUUAGUUUUUUUACAAGAACCCGUGUAGCAGUUAGCUGGGUAGAUUUUAUAAGUUAACUUUUACAAAAAAAGUGCAGUUAACAAAACAACAUGUUUUUUCUAAAUGUGAUUUAACUUUGAAGUUGAAUUUUACAAUUUAUAGUAGUUAAAAUCACAUUUUGCAACCGUUUUCACAAAAAGAGCAAAAAUAUGCAUGCAGAUAAAGUAUAGUUGACUUGCAUCCAAAAGGUCGACAGAUGGGAAGAUUUUGCAAAGACUUGAUAUAAAAAAUUGGCAGUUAGCUUGCAAGGUACACAAACAUUUUGGUCAUAACCGGGAUGCAUUGCAGUUUGCUAAAGAAAUCUAAUUUCUAGUGCUCAUAACUCCUUCCAUGUCUGUUUGAUCUUAUUGAGAGCACAAGUGACUGGUUAAUUAUAGCAAUUGCAUACUCUUUUCUCAUCAUUUUAUCAUCUGGUGGUGUUGAACCAGUGACCGUGUUCAGUGCUGCAUUAUGAUGCUCCUGCUUCAUCUUUUGUGUCUGUUUCGUCUUCCCGAGAAUAAAAGUGAGUCAUUUUUAGUGUGUUCUUAUUGUUCUAGUCAUCAGUUUAUCAUUUCACAUGUUCAACCAUCAAAUAGUGUCGUUCAGAAAUACAGAGACUAUAGAUAGUGACAUAUUCUAUUUUAUACUUUUUCAGACUUCCAAGGAAACAAGCAAUUAGAGUGAAAAGGAGAACUUAGAAAAGAAGUAGAGUGCCUAGGAGCUGAUUUGCAACAAGAUAGAGAGAUGGAUCAUGCUCAGUCUGUUGCUCAACUGAAUACCUUGACCACUGAACUAGCCACUUACAAUGAACAAGGUAGAAAAUGUUUGAUAAACUGAAUGUUUGAGAGUUAAAGUGGUUCUUUUAGGCUUGUGCUUUCAGUAAAUUUGGUUUAUAUUCAUGUCACUACUUGGCUUAUUAAUAUCCUUUUGUUCUGAAAAGACUUAUCAUUAUGCUUGUUCUCAAGAAACAGAGACCACUACUCAAUUAGCUCUUGCCCCCAUGCUGCCAGCGGCGCGAUCCACGGUGCGUAGUUUGCCAAUGAUCAGUUUCAUGGAGAAGCUAGAGUUAGUUUCAGGGACUGGCUGCAGUUAUCUUGCGUCCAAAAAAUUUAAGUGAUGUACACAACUAUGAUUUUGCAAAGCCCCUGCUUGCCUGAGGUACAAAAAAUAGCAAUCUAAUGAGAGGGUUCAGUUUGUUUGCCAAGCCCCUGCUUGCGUGAGGUACAAAAGAUAUUUUUAAUCCCGGCAGUUAACUUGGUGUUAACUCCCGCAAUCCCUGGCAGUUAGCUAUUUUACUCCCGACUGUUAGCUUGAACCAGGAAAAAAACAAAAAAAAGUAUUUUCAAUCCUGACAGUUAACUAUUGCAGUCUCGACAGUUAGCUAUUCCAGUCCCAGUGGUUCACUUGACCAGGGAAAAAAUAGAAAAAAAAGAAUAAAAAACAAAAGAAGCAGGAAAAAGUAUUAUCGGCCACUGUAGUUAGCUUGCUCAUCAUGUGCAGUUAGGUAUUUCAUACCCACAGUUAGUGUGACCCAAUCAAAAAA